This 274-nucleotide ribosomal RNA is filed under the name uncultured bacterium. RNAcentral describes it as "partial 16S ribosomal RNA". It matches the Rfam family "Bacterial small subunit ribosomal RNA", at positions 523 to 796 of the family's 1533-position model. The record is from RNAcentral.
AUACGGAGGGUGCAAGCGUUAAUCGGAAUUACUGGGCGUAAAGCGCGCGUAGGCGGCUUGGUCAGUCGGAUGUGAAAGCCCCGGGCUCAACCUGGGAAUGGCUUUCGAUACUGCCAGGCUAGAGUAUGGGAGAGGGAAGUGGAAUUUCCGGUGUAGCGGUGAAAUGCGUAGAUAUCGGAAGGAACACCAGUGGCGAAGGCGACUUCCUGGCCCAAUACUGACGCUGAGGUGCGAAAGCGUGGGGAGCGAACAGGAUUAGAAACCCUAGUAGUCC